AUGGUCACUUUGGAUUUCGUUGAAGGACUGCCAACCUCGAAAGGAUUCAACUCUAUCCUGGUAGUGGUGGACAAGCUCACCCGCUAUGCCCAUUUCAUACCACUUCGACAUCCAUUCUCAGCACUGCAAGUGGCUAAAGCCUAUAUGGAUAACGUCUUCAAAUUACACGGACCUCCAGAGGCAAUGGUUUCCGACCGUGAUCGAAUUUUCACCAGCAAGGUAUGGCAAGAACUCUGCAAGCUCACUCACAUCAAACUGAACAUAUCCUCAGCUCGGCACCCGCAAACGGAUGGCACAACGGAACGAGUGAAUCAGUGUAUGGAGUUAUACCUCAGAUGCUUCGUGCACAAUUGCCCCAGCAAGUGGGUCGAGUGGAUUUCCUUGGCAGAAUUCUGUGACAGACUUAGCCCAGUGGACUCGGGACAGGGCAGUCAUGGUGGCUCUGUUACGGCAGCAUCUCAACAGGGCGCGGCAAAGCAUGAAAUAGAAGGCUGA
Molecule: ribosomal RNA, 495 nt
Filed under: Triticum aestivum (bread wheat)
Lineage: Eukaryota; Viridiplantae; Streptophyta; Magnoliopsida; Poales; Poaceae
Description: partial small subunit ribosomal RNA
Source: RNAcentral